Molecule: ribosomal RNA, 256 nt
Filed under: uncultured bacterium
Lineage: Bacteria
Description: partial 16S ribosomal RNA
Rfam family: Bacterial small subunit ribosomal RNA
Source: RNAcentral
UACAGAGGUGGCAAGCGUUGUUCGGAAUUACUGGGCGUAAAGGGCGCGUAGGCGGUUCGUUAAGUCCUGUGUGAAAUCCCCAGGCUUAACCUGGGAACUGCGUCUGAUACUGGAAGGCUCGAGUUCGGGAGAGGAAUGUGGAAUUCCAGGUGUAGCGGUGAAAUGCGUAGAUAUCUGGAGGAACACCGGUGGCGAAGGCGGCAUUCUGGACCGAAACGUGACGCUGAGGCGCGAAAGCCAGGGGAGCCAAAGCGGG